GCUGGCGGCAGGCCUAACACAUGCAAGUCGAACGGUAACAGGCUGUAUGGGAUCCCUUCGGGGUGAACUUGGCGCUGACGAGUGGCGAACGGGUGAGUAACACGUAG
RNAcentral lists this ribosomal RNA (107 nucleotides) under uncultured bacterium. Its description in RNAcentral is "partial 16S ribosomal RNA". The record is from RNAcentral.